CCUACGGGGGGCAGCAGUGGGGAAUAUUGCACAAUGGAGGGAACUCUGAUGCAGCGACGCCGCGUGCGUGAAGAAGUAAUUCGUGUUGUAAAGCUCUAUCAGCAGGGAAGAAAGUGACGGUACCUGAAAAAGAAGCUCCGGCUAAAUACGUGCCAGCAGCCGCGGUAAUACGUAUGGAGCAAGCGUUAUCCGGAUUUACUGGGUGUAAAGGGUGAGAAGGUGGAAGAGCAAGUGCGAAGUGAAAACCCAAAGCCAAACAAUGGGAAUGCUUUAGAAACUGCUAAGCUAGAGUGCAGGAGAGGCAAGUGGAAUUCUUAGUGUAGCGGUGAAAUGCGUAGAUAUUAGGAGGAACACCAGUGGCGAAGGCGGCUUGCUGGACUGUAACUGACACUGAGGCUCGAAAGCGUAGGGAGCAAACAGGAUUAGAUACCCUGGUAGUC
RNAcentral lists this ribosomal RNA (440 nucleotides) under uncultured bacterium. RNAcentral's name for it is "partial 16S ribosomal RNA". It matches the Rfam family "Bacterial small subunit ribosomal RNA", at positions 338 to 795 of the family's 1533-position model. The record is from RNAcentral.